RNAcentral lists this ribosomal RNA (254 nucleotides) under uncultured bacterium. RNAcentral describes it as "partial 16S ribosomal RNA". It matches the Rfam family "Bacterial small subunit ribosomal RNA", at positions 524 to 776 of the family's 1533-position model. The record is from RNAcentral.
GACGGAGGAGGCAAGCGUUGUUCGGAAUUAUUGGGCGUAAAGGGCUCGUAGGCGGAUCGGCAAGUCUGACGUGAAAUCUCCACCGCUCACCGGGGAGAGGUCGUUGGAUACUACCGAUCUGGAGUUUGGCAGAGGGUCGUGGAAUUCCGGGUGUAGCGGUGGAAUGCGUAGAUAUCCGGAAGAACACCGGUGGCGAAGGCGGCGACCUGGGCCAAAACUGACGCUGAGGAGAGAAAGCCAGGGGAGCAAACGGG